CGGGACACGUGGUAUCCUGUCUGAAUAUGGGGGGACCAUCCUCCAAGGCUAAAUACUCCUGACUGACCGAUAGUGAACCAGUACCGUGAGGGAAAGGCGAAAAGAACCCCGGCGAGGGGAGUGAAAAAGAACCUGAAACCGUGUACGUACAAGCAGUGGGAGCACGCUUAGGCGUGUGACUGCGUACCUUUUGUAUAAUGGGUCAGCGACUUAUAUUCUGUAGCAAGGUUAACCGAAUAGGGGAGCCGAAGGGAAACCGAGUCUUAACUGGGCGUUAAGUUGCAGGGUAUAGACCCGAAACCCGGUGAUCUAGCCAUGGGCAGGUUGAAGGUUGGGUAACACUAACUGGAGGACCGAACCGACUAAUGUUGAAAAAUUAGCGGAUGACUUGUGGCUGGGGGUGAAAGGCCAAUCAAACCGGGAGAUAGCUGGUUCUCCCCGAAAGCUAUUUAGGUAGCGCCUCGUGAAUUCAUCUCCGGGGGUAGAGCACUGUUUCGGCAAGGGGGUCAUCCCGACUUACCAACCCGAUGCAAACUGCGAAUACCGGAGAAUGUUAUCACGGGAGACACACGGCGGGUGCUAACGUCCGUCGUGAAGAGGGAAACAACCCAGACCGCCAGCUAAGGUCCCAAAGUCAUGGUUAAGUGGGAAACGAUGUGGGAAGGCCCAGACAGCCAGGAUGUUGGCUUAGAAGCAGCCAUCAUUUAAAGAAAGCGUAAUAGCUCACUGGUCGAGUCGGCCUGCGCGGAAGAUGUAACGGGGCUAAACCAUGCACCGAAGCUGCGGCAGCGACGCUGAUGCGUUGUUGGGUAGGGGAGCGUUCUGUAAGCCUGCGAAGGUGUGCUGUGAGGCAUGCUGGAGGUAUCAGAAGUGCGAAUGCUGACAUAAGUAACGAUAAAGCGGGUGAAAAGCCCGCUCGCCGGAAGACCAAGGGUUCCUGUCCAACGUUAAUCGGGGCAGGGUGAGUCGACCCCUAAGGCGAGGCCGAAAGGCGUAGUCGAUGGGAAACAGGUUAAUAUUCCUGUACUUGGUGUUACUGCGAAGGGGGGACGGAGAAGGCUAUGUUGGCCGGGCGACGGUUGUCCCGGUUUAAGCGUGUAGGCUGGUUUUCCAGGCAAAUCCGGAAAAUCAAGGCUGAGGCGUGAUGACGAGGCACUACGGUGCUGAAGCAACAAAUGCCCUGCUUCCAGGAAAAGCCUCUAAGCAUCAGGUAACAUCAAAUCGUACCCCAAACCGACACAGGUGGUCAGGUAGAGAAUACCAAGGCGCUUGAGAGAACUCGGGUGAAGGAACUAGGCAAAAUGGUGCCGUAACUUCGGGAGAAGGCACGCUGAUAUGUAGGUGAAGUCCCUCGCGGAUGGAGCUGAAAUCAGUCGAAGAUACCAGCUGGCUGCAACUGUUUAUUAAAAACACAGCACUGUGCAAACACGAAAGUGGACGUAUACGGUGUGACGCCUGCCCGGUGCCGGAAGGUUAAUUGAUGGGGUCAGCGCAAGCGAAGCUCUUGAUCGAAGCCCCGGUAAACGGCGGCCGUAACUAUAACGGUCCUAAGGUAGCGAAAUUCCUUGUCGGGUAAGUUCCGACCUGCACGAAUGGCGUAAUGAUGGCCAGGCUGUCUCCACCCGAGACUCAGUGAAAUUGAACUCGCUGUGAAGAUGCAGUGUACCCGCGGCAAGACGGAAAGACCCCGUGAACCUUUACUAUAGCUUGACACUGAACAUUGAGCCUUGAUGUGUAGGAUAGGUGGGAGGCUUUGAAGUGUGGACGCCAGUCUGCAUGGAGCCGACCUUGAAAUACCACCCUUUAAUGUUUGAUGUUCUAACGUUGACCCGU
RNAcentral lists this ribosomal RNA (1833 nucleotides) under Escherichia coli. RNAcentral's name for it is "partial 23S ribosomal RNA". It matches the Rfam family "Bacterial large subunit ribosomal RNA", at positions 418 to 2236 of the family's 2925-position model. Lineage: Bacteria; Pseudomonadati; Pseudomonadota; Gammaproteobacteria; Enterobacterales; Enterobacteriaceae. The record is from RNAcentral.